Molecule: unclassified non-coding RNA, 1330 nt
Filed under: Leishmania donovani
Lineage: Eukaryota; Euglenozoa; Kinetoplastea; Trypanosomatida; Trypanosomatidae
Description: gene:LdHU3.01.0710(CDS-product:DNA-damage_inducib le_protein_DDI1-like_protein)
Source: RNAcentral
CCAAGUUCGCCACCAAGCAUUGAGCAGCAGGACGAAACCGUCCCCUUCCUUGGCGCGCGCGCGGACGCAAGCAUCUUGACAUACACAAUGGUGCAGCUCACCAUCACCAACGCCAGAGGAGCAACCCUGUGCCGAGUUAGCCUCCCCGCCAACGCGACGGUGCAGCAGCUGCUGCUGCAACUCACCGUGGCGAAGCCGGAGCUGCGCCAUGCACAAGCGAUCCGCAAUGAUGCCCGUCACGUGACGCACCGCCUUACGCCAGCAUCUACCACCACCACAAGUGGGCUCUCAUCCAACGCACAAACACUGUUGCAAGCGGGCCUAGUUGGGCAAGGUGCAACGGCGGAGACGUUGGUAGUGCUAACGGCGGAUGAUGCUCCUGCCGCGGCGUCAUCGGCUGCAGCGGCGGCACCAUCCCCAACGAAGGCCGUCACAGCACGCAUUCUGGAUCUGUUCGGGUGCGCCUCGGCGUCUCCGUCGGCAGGGGUGCGGCCCCAAGCCAGUGCCGACCCCAGCACGAUGGACGAGCGCCAGCUAGAGCUGCAGCGCCGCAUCUACGCUCAAAUCCAGCAGCAGCAGAUAGACGAGAAUCUGGCCAACGCGCUCGAGUACACGCCAGAGGCGUUCGCGAAGGUAGCGAUGCUCUACGUGCCGUGCACCAUCAACCAGGUGCUAGUGAAAGCCUUCGUCGACUCCGGCGCGCAGAACAGCAUCAUGAACAAGCGCACGGCGGAGCGGUGUGGGUUGAUGCGGCUCGUCGACGUCCGCAUGCGUGGCGUCGCCGUCGGAGUAGGGCGGCAGGAGAUCUGCGGUCGCAUUCACAUGACCCCUGUGAACCUCGCAGGCAUGUACAUCCCCUUCGCCUUCUACGUGAUCGAGGACCAGGCAAUGGACUUGAUCAUCGGUCUCGACCAGCUGAGGCGCCAUCAGAUGAUGAUAGACCUCAAGCAUAACUGUCUCACCAUCGACAACAUCAACGUCCCGUUCUUGCCGGAGAACGAUCCGCCUGCGUUGACGAUGCUGGACGACGACGAGAAUGCUAUGCACGCGCCGCGUCACCAGGACCCGGCAGCGACAGCCAUCCCUGCUUCCAUCCCUGCUGCACCGGUGCUCUCGGAGGGCGAGCGGCAGGCUCGGAUUGAAGGUUUCAUGACGUUCUCGGGUAUAACUGACCCCACGCAGGCGGCGGAAUUGCUGGAGGCCGCCGACUGGGACCCCAACGUGGCGGCGGCGCUCCUCUUCGACACGUGAAAGACAAGGGAGGCGCCCACCCCGCCCCCACGUGCCCGCUACCGUUGCGCCUGUCUCCCAUCUCUUCUUUAUUGGAUGC